CGGGUGAGUAAUACAUCGGAACGUGUCUUCUAGUGGGGGAUAACUGCCCGAAAGGGCGAGCUAAUACCGCAUGAGACCUGAGGGUGAAAGCGGGGGAGUCGCAAGACCUCGCGCUGGAAGAGCGGCCGAUGUCCGAUUAGCUAGUUGGUGAGGUAAAGGCUCACCAAGGCGACGAUCGGUAGCUGGUCUGAGAGGACGACCAGCCACACUGGGACUGAGACACGGCCCAG
This 230-nucleotide ribosomal RNA is filed under the name uncultured bacterium. Its description in RNAcentral is "partial 16S ribosomal RNA". It matches the Rfam family "Bacterial small subunit ribosomal RNA", at positions 103 to 334 of the family's 1533-position model. The record is from RNAcentral.